AUUGAACGCUGGCGGCAUGCUUUACACAUGCAAGUCGAACGGUAACAGGGUGCUUGCACCGCUGACGAGUGGCGAACGGGUGAGUAAUGCGUCGGAACGUGCCGAGUAGUGGGGGAUAACGAAGCGAAAGUUGUUCUAAUACCGCAUACGUACUGAGGUAGAAAGUGGGGGACCUGCGGGCCUCACGCUAUUCGAGCGGCCGACGUCUGAUUAGCUAGUAGGUGAGGUAAAGGCUCACCUAGGCGACGAUCAGUAGCGGGUCCGAGAGCACGACCAGUCACACGGGCACUGAGACACGGGCCCGACUCCUACGGGAGGCAGCAGUAAGGAAUAUUGGGCAAUGGACGCAAGUCUGACCCAGCCAUGCCGCGUGGAGGAUGAAGAUCCUCUGGAUUGUAAACUUCUUUUAUCUGGGAAGAAAUCCAUCUUUUCUUGGGUGGUUGACGGUACCAGAUGAAUAAGCACCGGCUAACUCCGUGCCAGCCGCCGCCGUAA
RNAcentral lists this ribosomal RNA (495 nucleotides) under uncultured bacterium. RNAcentral describes it as "partial 16S ribosomal RNA". It matches the Rfam family "Bacterial small subunit ribosomal RNA", at positions 30 to 523 of the family's 1533-position model. The record is from RNAcentral.